GAUAAUCAUCGCAUAAGCUCCGAAACCAUCCCAAAAAUAAAAUCUAUGAUAACAGAUAUUAUAACUGUCCCAAUAGAUAUCUACGGUAACAGAUAUAAAGUCAUCCCAUAUUUUAUAUCAGCUAAAAUAUGAAAUUACGCGAGAAUUUUUGCUCCAACACUGAUUUUACCCGCCUUUUUUAGUAAUUUUUAUUUUUAAAAAAUUAAAAUAAGUUUUCUCUCAGACUCAAUUUAGGACAAGUCAAAUUGUCGGUCUAGGGUUAGGAAACCCCAAUUUUUUCUCUCUCAGCGCCAUUUUUCUUCUCUCCAGCGCCGACAACCAUUUUUCUCGUUCAAUACUCGACAACACCUGGCCGGAGAUAUAUAACAGCCUCAGAACAUGGUCGGAGAUUGAAAAAAUGAUGGCCUCUUCUGUGAUUUUAGUGAUAAGUGAUAAAUUUUAGUAGGUCUAUGGCAAGAUUUCAGUGGGUCUUCUUCUCUGGUGUUCUUUUGCGAUUUUACUUCUCCGAAAAAGGUCUUCUUCUCAGGUGCCACUAAGCGAUAUUGGUGCCUUACAAAUUUUGGGUAGAGUCAUGUGGAUCAAAUAACACAACUACUGAGUUCUAGGAGUUUGGGGGGAAAAGGCUGCAAAGACUCAUAUUCAACUACGAGUCUUCAGAUCAUCAACAUAGUGACUAGAGUGUGACAUCACAGGAACUUGAAAGAUGGGAAGCCAUUGGGGAGAUUCUUAAACUGAAUCCCAGUUACAAGCCACAGUCUGGUUAUACGCCUAUACCAAAGGAGGCAAAAAUCCUGGUACCUGUUUGGAUAAAAGUGAAUCAACAAAGGCCUUCAAAAAAUAACAAAAGAGCAAACAACAAGGAAUUUACUAAACCUGGAUCGUUAUUAGCCAUGACAAAUAGAACAUGAAGAUUAUUGACAACAAAUGAAAUAUUUAAAGCUAUACGAUCGGAGAAAGAGAAUUUUCUUGAAUUAAUUGGAAAACAACAACCACCAGUACAACAACCAGCAUCUCAAGAAGUUGAACAAUCUAUAGUGGAGUAUCAUGUUGGAGAGGAGCAACAUGCAGAUGAUGUGCAACAUGUAGAGGAUCAAGUUCAAAUGGCUGAUUCAUCCACUUCGAUAAUAGCUGAACAUUCAGAAGAACAAGGUAACAUAUAACUUAGAAACUUAUUGAAUUCAUUCGUGACUUCUAAUUUUUUUCUAUUUUCUUAUAGUUGAAAGGCCUCCCACUAGAAAAACAAAAGUCAAAACACAAAUGUACAAGGUAUAUAGUCGACAAGAGAAAAAACCGCUCAGACUAAAUCGGCAAAAUCAACCCGUUGGUCCUAGUAAUGAACUUGUAAUUGAGUUAGUCAGCUUGGCACAUUGGCGAAGAAUGCGAUCCUUUGCCCAUUGGAUAUAUUUGAUUGGAGGCUGAUGGAUACUAAAAAGGAUUUAUGGGAUUAUACUCGGGUUUCUAAACUCACUGUGAUCUCCAGUGCUUUGUUUCCUUUUAUUCUGUCCUUCGAGUGUGGCAGGACCUCUCAAAUUUGAAGGGGAUUGGUAUUGGUAAGAAAAUCAAAGGCUUAUAUAUUUUAAAGAAAUAUGUGGAACCAGUUAAUAUAUUGACUGUUACAAAUGGGGUCAUAAUAUAUAGAACAUUUUUAACCAGUUAAUAUAUGGAACAAUAGUAGUACAAAUCCUUUUUUGGUGCAGAUUUUUUUUUUGUUGUUGUCCUACCUGAAUGACACCAACUUCUUGUCAAAAUAUCAUAUUCCUGAUGCUGCCGCAGAAGGCUGGGUUUUGGAAAGACUUCGAGAAUCUUGGAGAAAGCAUAGAGUUGAUUUGAAGGAAGGACAUUACGAUCCAUAUGACAAUGAUGAAGUUUGAAUGGCGAAAAGGCCGGAAAGUGUUUCAAAAUGUCAAUUUAAAGAGUUUCUCAUAUAUUGGAAGUCUGAAAAAUUUCAGAAAAUGUGCAAAACAAAUACUGAGAAUCGAAAGAAGCUGAGGCAAAAAGAGUGUUGCUUUUAUUCGCAAUAAAUUGAAGGGGAAACUUUGUCGCUGAAGGAUAUGUUUGCGGUCACAAGAGCAAGAAAACCUGGUCGUACAUACAAGACGUCAAAUGAAAGCACCACUAGUAAAAUUUCAUGGGUCCUGAACAUCCUGAAUGUGUAGGAUUGUAUGGAGUUGUGGUUACAAAGACUUUCUUGAAAAGAAUAAAUGGAACUUCUGAACCAACUUUAAAGGCCA
Molecule: long non-coding RNA, 2231 nt
Organism: Capsicum annuum
Lineage: Eukaryota; Viridiplantae; Streptophyta; Magnoliopsida; Solanales; Solanaceae
Exons: 8
Source: RefSeq, a predicted model, not a curated record